GGAUUAGAUACCCUGGUAGUCCACGCCGUAAACGAUGUCAGCUAGCCGUCGGGGUGCAUGCAUCUCGGUGGCGCAGUUAACGCAUUAAGCUGACCGCCUGGGGAGUACGGCCGCAAGGUUAAAACUCAAAGGAAUUGACGGGGGCCUGCACAAGCGGUGGAGCAUGUGGUUUAAUUCGAAGCAACGCGCAGAACCUUACCAGCUCUUGACAUCCCUGGACCGCCACGGAGACGUGGUUUCCCUUCGGGGCCAGGUGACAGGUGCUGCAUGGCUGUCGUCAGCUCGUGUUG
RNAcentral lists this ribosomal RNA (290 nucleotides) under uncultured bacterium. RNAcentral describes it as "partial 16S ribosomal RNA". It matches the Rfam family "Bacterial small subunit ribosomal RNA", at positions 775 to 1067 of the family's 1533-position model. The record is from RNAcentral.